Molecule: ribosomal RNA, 492 nt
Filed under: uncultured bacterium
Lineage: Bacteria
Description: partial 16S ribosomal RNA
Rfam family: Bacterial small subunit ribosomal RNA
Source: RNAcentral
AGUGAACGCUGGCGGUAGGCCUAACACAUGCAAGUCGAACGGCAGCACAGUAAGAGCUUGCUCUUACGGGUGGCGAGUGGCGGACGGGUGAGGAAUACAUCGGAAUCUACUUUUUCGUGGGGGAUAACGUAGGGAAACUUACGCUAAUACCGCAUACGACCUACGGGUGAAAGCAGGGGAUCUUCGGACCUUGCGCGAUUGAAUGAGCCGAUGUCGGAUUAGCUAGUUGGCGGGGUAAAGGCCCACCAAGGCGACGAUCCGUAGCUGGUCUGAGAGGAUGAUCAGCCACACUGGAACUGAGACACGAUCCAGACUCCUACGGGAGGCAGCAGUGGGGAAUAUUGGACAAUGGGCGCAAGCCUGAUCCAGCCAUACCGCGUGGGUGAAGAAGGCCUUCGGGUUGUAAAGCCCUUUUGUUGGGAAAGAAAAGCAGCAGGUUAAUACCCCGCUGUUCUGACGGUACCCAAAGAAUAAGCACCGGCUAACUUCGUG